UACGUAUGGUGCAAGCGUUAUCCGGAUUUACUGGGCGUAAAGGGAGUGCAGGCGGCGCGCCAAGUCUGAUGUGAAACCCCGGGGCUCAACCCCGGGCAUGCAUUGGAAACUGGCGGGCUGGAGUGCCGGAGAGGUAAGCGGAAUUCCUAGUGUAGCGGUGAAAUGCGUAGAUAUUAGGAGGAACACCAGUGGCGAAGGCGGCUUACUGGACGGCAACUGACGCUGAGGCUCGAAAGCGUGGGGAGCAAACAGG
Molecule: ribosomal RNA, 253 nt
Filed under: uncultured bacterium
Lineage: Bacteria
Description: partial 16S ribosomal RNA
Rfam family: Bacterial small subunit ribosomal RNA
Source: RNAcentral